RNAcentral lists this ribosomal RNA (460 nucleotides) under uncultured bacterium. RNAcentral's name for it is "partial 16S ribosomal RNA". It matches the Rfam family "Bacterial small subunit ribosomal RNA", at positions 338 to 795 of the family's 1533-position model. The record is from RNAcentral.
CCUACGGGUGGCAGCAGUGAGGAAUAUUGGUCAAUGGGCGCGAGCCUGAACCAGCCAAGUAGCGUGAAGGAUGACUGCCCUACGGGUUGUAAACUUCUUUUAUAAGGGAAUAAAGUGAGGCACGUGUGCCUUUUUGUAUGUACUUUAUGAAUAAGGAUCGGCUAACUCCGUGCCAGCAGCCGCGGUAAUACGGAGGAGCUGAGCGUUAUCCGGAUUUAUUGGGUUUAAAGGGAGCGUAGAUGGGUUGUUAAGUCAGUUGUGAAAGUUUGCGGCUCAACCGUAAAAUUGCAAUUGAUACUGGCAGACUUGAGUGCAGUUGAGGUAGGCGGAAUUCGUAGUGUAGCGGUGAAAUGCUUAGAUAUUACGAAGAACUCCGGUUGCGAAGGCAGCUUACUAAACUGCAACUGACGUUGAUGCUCGAAAGUGUGGGUAUCAAACAGGAUUAGAUACCCGUGUAGUC